GAACGCUGGCGGCAGGCCUAACACAUGCAAGUCGAACGGUAACAGGAAGCAGCUUGCUGCUUCGCUGACGAGUGGCGGACGGGUGAGUAAUGUCUGGGAAGCUGCCUGAUGGAGGGGGAUAACUACUGGAAACGGUAGCUAAUACCGCAUAAUGUCGCAAGACCAAAGAGGGGGACCUUCGGGCCUCUUGCCAUCGGAUGUGCCCAGAUGGGAUUAGCUUGUUGGUGGGGUAACGGCUCACCAAGGCGACGAUCCCUAGCUGGUCUGAGAGGAUGACCAGCCACACUGGGACUGAGACACGGUCCAGACUCCUACGGGAGGCAGCAGUGGGGAAUAUUGCACAAUGGGCGCAAGCCUGAUGCAGCCAUGCCGCGUGUAUGAAGAAGGCCUUCGGGUUGUAAAGUACUUUCAGCGGGGAGGAAGGGAGUAAAGUUAAUACCUUUGCUCAUUGACGUUACCCGCAGAAGAAGCACCGGCUAACUCCGUG
This 487-nucleotide ribosomal RNA is filed under the name uncultured bacterium. RNAcentral's name for it is "partial 16S ribosomal RNA". It matches the Rfam family "Bacterial small subunit ribosomal RNA", at positions 31 to 507 of the family's 1533-position model. The record is from RNAcentral.